GAAAUAAAAAGUGGAGGUUUGUAAAAAGGGCCAUAAACAUUAAGUAAUCGCCUUGGAUAAAGGCAGAAAAUCUCGUUUUCCAUCGGAUUUUGUUCCUAUUACGGCCGUACAUAUAGUUGACCACGAUUAUAAUGUUUAAAGGUUAGAAAGUUGCGAUGAACACGUUGUAUACAUCAUGUUGCUAGACAAGAAGAUGUGACCACGGAUAAUUUAGACGACAGAGAAUGGAGUAUUGGAAGAAGAGUGGUAGAAUUGGAGACCCUGGCUGAUGGACUUAAAGCAUGUUAUCUUUGCAGUCAGCUAUUACAUCUCUUAAACUGUGUGGGUGAAAAAAAACGGUUUAGCCUAAAUUUUACUUGUUAAAUGCCCAUAUCCUGAGUGUGGUUUUAUAAAUGAUAUACCAACUGGCACUAAACAUGCUACAGUAAAUGGUGGCCAAGCCUGGGAUGUCAAAACAAAGUAAGCUGCAGGUGAAACCUACCAAUCAAAGAUUGCUUUUCAAGAUCAUGCUGAUCUCUACGACAUUGUUUUGAAGCAAGACAAAGUUUCUCCAGAUCAUAGUCCACAAUGAUAUUUUUUCACUUUUGGCUAGCCAGAACACCAGAUAUUCUACAGAUUGCUGCAGUAUCAGGGAAUGAAGAGAUGAAUGUCUAUAUGUGACCAACAACUCAGAUUUGUCUUGAAGCUUCUGUGGCCCCUCGGAUGACAUACAUUGGUGGAGUACUAAAACAUAAAGGACAAACAGUUACAUCAGUCCCUCCAGAGGAUGGUCUUAGAUAUUUCCUUGAGUUUUUAAAGGAAUUUUUCAAGCCCAUUUUGGUUGGCCACAAUGUGCAGAAUUUUGAUGUCCCAGUCCUGGUGAAUCAGCUGACAAAAUAUGGUUUAUUGGAACAUUUCAAAGAAAAUGUUUCUGGAUUUCUUGAUAGAAUGGAACUUGCAAAAAAAAAAAUCCAGAAAAAAGGGAUUGAUGUAGAGAACUAUAAGCAAGAGAUUUUAGUGAAAUCACAUCUUAAGAUGCACACAAUCACUUAAGCAACUCUACGAGAAAAAGAAUAUCUGAUAUGUCAUCUUCAAAUGAUGUGUUUGCUCUGUCAUACUACGCAUGCAAAUCAUCAUUAGACACCUCAGUGAAGUCUAAAGUUAUUUCAUCCCUGCCAAACAUAUUGAAGAAUCUUGUUUAUUGUUCCCUUAGUCUAUCUAGUAUCAAAGCUGAGAUGAAUUCACAAACGUGACCCAUACAAUGGAAUCUGGAAUGUGUUCUGUGAACGUGCAGAUGAAACAAAGAUCCUGAGAGUAUCAAAAUCCAAAAAUGUUAUUGACAAAGUUGUGGCUUAUUUGAAUGCACCAUGAGAACAUUUACAAAUGUGUAGUAUGUAUUUACUAUUGAUGUGAAUAUUUAGAAAUAUCCCAGGUCCAGAUAUUGAGGGUAAAAAACAUGAAAAAU
Saccostrea cuccullata (small rock oyster) is the source of this 1444-nucleotide long non-coding RNA. RefSeq lists it as uncharacterized. NCBI's taxonomy places the organism in Eukaryota, Metazoa, Mollusca, Bivalvia, Ostreida, Ostreidae. The record is from RefSeq and is a predicted model, not a curated record. The transcript has 3 exons.